CCUACGGGGGGCAGCAGUGGGGAAUAUUGCACAAUGGGCGAAAGCCUGAUGCAGCGACGCCGCGUGGGGGAUGACGGUCUUCGGAUUGUAAACCCCUUUCAGUAGGGACGAAGCGCAAGUGACGGUACCUGCAGAAGAAGCACCGGCCAACUACGUGCCAGCAGCCGCGGUAAUACGUAGGGUGCGAGCGUUGUCCGGAAUUACUGGGCGUAAAGAGCUCGUAGGCGGUUUGUCGCGUCGUCCGUGAAAACUCGGAGCUUAACUCCGAGCUUGCGGGCGAUACGGGCAGACUUGAGUACUACAGGGGAGACUGGAAUUCCUGGUGUAGCGGUGAAAUGCGCAGAUAUCAGGAGGAACACCGGUGGCGAAGGCGGGUCUCUGGGUAGUAACUGACGCUGAGGAGCGAAAGCAUGGGUAGCGAACAGGAUUAGAUACCCCAGUAGUC
RNAcentral lists this ribosomal RNA (445 nucleotides) under uncultured bacterium. RNAcentral's name for it is "bacterial SSU rRNA". It matches the Rfam family "Bacterial small subunit ribosomal RNA", at positions 338 to 795 of the family's 1533-position model. The record is from RNAcentral.